AGGACGAACGCUGGCGGCGUGCUUAACACAUGCAAGUGGAGCGACGAACCAGGGCUUGCCCUGGGGCAGAGCCGCGAACGGGUGAGUAACACGUGGGUUACCUGCCUCGAUGACCGGGACAACCCGAGGAAACUCGGGCUAAUACCGGAUGUGCCCGCAAGGGGAAAGGAAGCUUCGGCCUCCGCAUCGAGAUGGGCCCGCGGCCCAUUAGCUUGUUGGUGAGGUAACGGCUCACCAAGGCUUCGAUGGGUAGCUGGUCUGAGAGGACGAUCAGCCACACUGGGACUGAGACACGGCCCAGACUCCUACGGGAGGCAGCAGUGGGGAAUCUUGCGCAAUGCGCGAAAGCGUGACGCAGCAACGCCGCGUGGGGGAAGAAGGCUUUCGGGUUGUAAACCCCUUUCAGUUGGGACGAAGCUUCUUUGGUGAAUAGCCAAACGGAGUGACGGUACUUCAUAAGAAGCACCGGCUAACGUACGCGCCAGCAGCCGCGGU
Molecule: ribosomal RNA, 495 nt
Filed under: uncultured bacterium
Lineage: Bacteria
Description: SSU rRNA
Rfam family: Bacterial small subunit ribosomal RNA
Source: RNAcentral